This 494-nucleotide ribosomal RNA is filed under the name uncultured bacterium. Its description in RNAcentral is "bacterial SSU rRNA". It matches the Rfam family "Bacterial small subunit ribosomal RNA", at positions 28 to 521 of the family's 1533-position model. The record is from RNAcentral.
GAUGAACGCUGGCGGCGUGCUUAACACAUGCAAGUCGAGCGAAGCGCUUUACUUGAUUUCUUCGGAAUGAAGAGUGAUUUGACUGAGCGGCGGACGGGUGAGUAACGCGUGGGCAACCUGCCUCAUACAGGGGGAUAACAGUUAGAAAUGACUGCUAAUACCGCAUAAGACCACAGUACCGCAUGGUAUGGUGGUAAAACUCCGGUGGUAUGAGAUGGGCCCGCGUCUGAUUAGGUAGUUGGUGGGGUAACGGCCUGCCAAGCCGACGAUCAGUAGCCGACCUGAGAGGGUGACCGGCCACAUUGGGACUGAGACACGGCCCAAACUCCUACGGGAGGCAGCAGUGGGGAAUAUUGCACAAUGGGGAAACCCUGAUGCAGCGACGCCGCGUGAAGGAUGAAGUAUUCGGUAUGUAAACUUCUUUUGUCGGGGACGAAACAAAUGACGGUACCUGACGAAUAAGCCACGGCUAACUACGUGCCAGCAGCCGCCGU